AACGCACAUUGCGCCCCUUGGCAUUCCGAAGGGCAUGCCUGUUCGAGCGUCAUGAUCAAAUCUCAAGCCUUGCUUGGUAUUGGGUUUUCGUCUUUCUCGUCCUUCAUUUACGAGUAUUGAUGUGCCUAAAAAUCAGUGGCAGCGCCUCAAUAGCCUCAAGCGUAGAAGACUGACUCGCUUUGGAGAACUAUUGUGGAUCCUGUCAAUUAAAACAAAGGUUGACCUCGGAUCAGGUAGGGAUACCCGCUGAACUUAA
This 256-nucleotide unclassified non-coding RNA is filed under the name uncultured Geoglossales. RNAcentral describes it as "sequence contains 5.8S rRNA gene, ITS2, 28S rRNA gene". The record is from RNAcentral. Lineage: Eukaryota; Fungi; Ascomycota; Geoglossomycetes.